Molecule: ribosomal RNA, 232 nt
Filed under: uncultured bacterium
Lineage: Bacteria
Description: partial 16S ribosomal RNA
Rfam family: Bacterial small subunit ribosomal RNA
Source: RNAcentral
CGGGGUGAGUAACGCGUGGGUAACCUGCCUCAUACAGGGGGAUAACAGUUAGAAAUGACUGCUAAUACCGCAUAAGACCACGGAGCCGCAUGGCUCAGUGGGAAAAACUCCGGUGGUAUGAGAUGGACCCGCGUCUGAUUAGCUGGUUGGUGAGGUAACGGCUCACCAAGGCGACGAUCAGUAGCCGGCUUGAGAGAGUGAACGGCCACAUUGGGACUGAGACACGGCCCAA